CAAGAGUUUGAUCCUGGCUCAGGACGAACGCUGGCGGCGUGCCUAAUACAUGNNNNNNGAGCGAGCUUGCCUAGAUGAUUUUAGUGCUUGCACUAAAUGAAACUAGAUACAAGCGAGCGGCGGACGGGUGAGUAACACGUGGGUAACCUGCCCAAGAGACUGGGAUAACACCUGGAAACAGAUGCUAAUACCGGAUAACAACACUAGACGCAUGUCUAGAGUUUGAAAGAUGGUUCUGCUAUCACUCUUGGAUGGACCUGCGGUGCAUUAGCUAGUUGGUAAGGUAACGGCUUACCAAGGCAAUGAUGCAUAGCCGAGUUGAGAGACUGAUCGGCCACAUUGGGACUGAGACACGGCCCAAACUCCUACGGGAGACAGCAGUAGGGAAUCUUCCACAAUGGACGAAAGUCUGAUGGAGCAACGCCGCGUGAGUGAAGAAGGGUUUCGGCUCGUAAAGCUCUGUUGGUAGUGAAGAAAGAUAGAGGUAGUAACUGGCCUUUAUUUGACGGUAAUCAACCAGAAAGUCACGGCUAACUACGUGCCAGCAGCCGCGGUAAGACGCCUA
RNAcentral lists this ribosomal RNA (565 nucleotides) under uncultured bacterium. RNAcentral describes it as "bacterial SSU rRNA". It matches the Rfam family "Bacterial small subunit ribosomal RNA", at positions 1 to 529 of the family's 1533-position model. The record is from RNAcentral.